CAGUCGCCGCGGUAAUACGUAGGUCCCGAGCGUUGUCCGGAAUUACUGGGCGUAAAGCGUGCGUAGGCGGUGAGUUAAGUCUGCUGUGAAAUCCCCGGGCUCAACCUGGGAAUGGCAGUGGAUACUGGCUCGCUAGAGUGUGUCAGAGGAUGGUGGAAUUCCCGGUGUAGCGGUGAAAUGCGUAGAGAUCGGGAGGAACAUCAGUGGCGAAGGCGGCCAUCUGGGACAACACUGACGCUGAGGCACGAAAGCGUGGGGAGCAAACAGGAUUAGAUACCCCCGUAGUCCCUGUCUCUUAUAC
Molecule: ribosomal RNA, 301 nt
Filed under: uncultured bacterium
Lineage: Bacteria
Description: partial 16S ribosomal RNA
Rfam family: Bacterial small subunit ribosomal RNA
Source: RNAcentral